RNAcentral lists this ribosomal RNA (902 nucleotides) under insect metagenome. RNAcentral's name for it is "bacterial SSU rRNA". It matches the Rfam family "Bacterial small subunit ribosomal RNA", at positions 8 to 939 of the family's 1533-position model. The record is from RNAcentral.
AGAGUUUGAUCCUAGCUCAGAAUGAACGCUGGCGGCAGGNCUNACACAUGCAAGUCGAACGGAGUUAUAUUGUAGCUUGCUAUGGUAUAACUUAGUGGCAGACGGGUGAGUAAUGUAUAGGAAUCUACCUAGUAGUACGGAAUAAUUGUUGGAAACGGCAACUAAUACCGUAUACGCCCUACGGGGGGAAAAAUUUAUUGCUAUUAGAUGAGCCUAUAUUAGAUUAGCUAGUUGGUGGAGUAAUAGCCUACCAAGGCAAUGAUCUAUAGCUGNNNUGAGAGNNUGANCNGCCACANUGGNACUGAGANACGGUCCAGACUCCUACGGGAGGCAGCAGUGGGGAAUAUUGGACAAUGGGCGAAAGCCUGAUCCAGCCAUGCCGCAUGAGUGAAGAAGGCCUUUGGGUUGUAAAGCUCUUUUAGUGAGGAAGAUAAUGACGGUACUCACAGAAGAAGUCCUGGCUAACUNCGUGCCCAGCAGCCGCGGUAAUACGUNAGAGGGCUAGCGUUGUCGGAAUCACUGGGCGUAAAGGGCGCGUAGGCGGAUUAGUAAGUUAAAAGUGAAAUCCCAAGGCUCAACCUUGGAAUUGCUUUUAAAACUGCUAAUCUAGAGAUUGAAAGAGGAUAGAGGAAUUCCUAGUGUAGAGGUGAAAUUCGUAAAUGUUAGGAGGAACACCAGUGGCGAAGGCGUCUAUCUGGUUCAAAUCUGACGCUGAGGCGCGAAGGCGUGGGGAGCAAACAGGAUUAGAUACCCUGGUAGUCCACGCUGUAAACGAUGAAUGUUAAAUAUGGGAAGUUUUACUUUCUGUAUUACAGCUAACGCGUUAAACAUUCCGCCUGGGGACUACGGUCGCAAGAUUAAAACUCAAAGGAAUUGACGGGGUACGUGGAGGUCGCUAGAUG